Molecule: ribosomal RNA, 253 nt
Filed under: uncultured bacterium
Lineage: Bacteria
Description: partial 16S ribosomal RNA
Rfam family: Bacterial small subunit ribosomal RNA
Source: RNAcentral
UACGGAGGGUGAGAGCGUUGUUCGGAAUCAUUGGGCGUAAAGGGCGUGUAGGUGGUCUGUUACGUCAUGUGUGAAAGCCCUCAGCUUAACUGGGGAAGUGCGCAUGAAACUGACAGGCUAGAGUACCGAAGAGGAAGGUGGAAUUCCAGGUGUAGCGGUGAAAUGCGUAGAUAUCUGGAGGAACACCGGUGGCGAAGGCGGCAUCCUGGACCAUAACUGACACUGAUAAGCGAAAGCCAGGGGAGCAAACGGG